AAAUUGAAGAGUUUGAUCAUGGCUCAGAUUGAACGCUGGCGGCAGGCCUAACACAUGCAAGUCGAACGGUAGCACAGAGAGCUUGCUCUCGGGUGACGAGUGGCGGACGGGUGAGUAAUGUCUGGGAAACUGCCUGAUGGAGGGGGAUAACUACUGGAAACGGUAGCUAAUACCGCAUAACGUCGCAAGACCAAAGAGGGGGACCUUCGGGCCUCUUGCCAUCAGAUGUGCCCAGAUGGGAUUAGCUAGUAGGUGGGGUAACGGCUCACCUAGGCGACGAUCCCUAGCUGGUCUGAGAGGAUGACCAGCCACACUGGAACUGAGACACGGUCCAGACUCCUACGGGAGGCAGCAGUG
This 357-nucleotide ribosomal RNA is filed under the name Enterobacter cloacae. Its description in RNAcentral is "partial 16S ribosomal RNA". It matches the Rfam family "Bacterial small subunit ribosomal RNA", at positions 1 to 356 of the family's 1533-position model. Lineage: Bacteria; Pseudomonadati; Pseudomonadota; Gammaproteobacteria; Enterobacterales; Enterobacteriaceae. The record is from RNAcentral. RNAcentral also lists the same sequence under 2 other names.